This 1182-nucleotide long non-coding RNA is filed under the name Cricetulus griseus (Chinese hamster). RNAcentral's name for it is "lncRNA (ENSCGRG00015037993.1)". The record is from RNAcentral. Lineage: Eukaryota; Metazoa; Chordata; Mammalia; Rodentia; Cricetidae.
CUUUGCAGUUCUGGGUGCCCUACCGAAGGUCCUAAAUCCGUCCUACCCGGCGUUAGUGGUGACUUCGGGGCCUUCUUCGAUCGAAUCAGAAAAACUGAUGAGGAGUUAGGAGGAGCUGGCUCGGUGAAAACCGGUGUGAUUCCAGUUUGUCACCAAAGAGCCACCGCCGGAAGCCUGCCCAGUCCAAGGUGGCAAACGCCCAAGUGCAGGCUGGAAGUCGCUGUAUGGCUUACAAUUCCGACUUACAUUGCACCGAAGAUGUAAGAGCACGUAAAAUUGUGCGGUUUGUUUUUCUUAACUUACUGUGAAAAUGUUCAUGUAGAUGUGAAGCUGAGAAAAAAAAAAAAAAAAAAAAGACAACCAAACCUCUGAGGGGACUUAGAGGAGUCUCAGAACUAGUGCCUAAGGUGUGGCAUCUCGGACAGAAUGCCCAGAGAACGGGUAUUGCCCGUCUGGAGAUGAAGGUUCUAGAUCUUAUUUGUACAGACCUAAGGAUGACACAAAGGCUGCGACCAAAGGAAAUGGACAUCCGCUCUUCAGCUGUAAUUCCACCCUCUUCAUAAUUCACACAUAACUAGGAAUCUGAGAAGGCUACCUUCUCAUUGGAACAUAUGGGGUUGCUGGGUGGUGGUGGCAGCACAUGCCUUUAAUCCCAGCACUCAGAGAGGCAGAGGCAGGAAGUUCUCUGUGAGUUCGAGGCCAGCCUAGACUACAGACUUAGUUCCAGGACAGCCAGAGAUACACGGAGAAACCCUGUCUCGAAAAACAAAACAGGAGAAAAAGAAAAAAAGAUAUGGGGGUUCCUCUGUGUAGCUUUGGAGCCUGUCCUGGAACUAGCUCAUAGACCAGGCUGACCUCGAACUCACAGAGAUUGGCCUGUCUCUGCCUCCCGAGUGCUGUGAUUAAAGCUCCUGACCCAGCAAAUACAGAAAUUGAAAGCAACAAAUACAGAAAUUGAAAGCAUCUCCCUACCAGAAAGGAUAAAGACAACCAUUUAUUGAUUUUACUUGGUAAGCAAUAAUGAAGGCUGGGCGGUGGUGGUGCAUGCCAUUAAUCCCAGCACUUUCUAGGCAGGGGCAUCAAAUCUCAUGAGUUCAAGGCCAUCCUGGUCUACAGAUCAAGUUCCAGGACAGGCUCCAAAGCUACAGAGAAACCCUGUCUCCAAACAAAAGAAAACAAAAC